GAUGUGUUCUAACUAUGACUAGGUUGACAUUAAAUCCUCUUAGAGUACUAUCUAGCUUAGACAAUUAAUGGACUCUUGGGCUAUAUAGUCUAAGUGGUCACAAUUAAUGGAUCUAACUUUCUAAAGUCGAAUGGGAUAUGAUGUAUGACAAUCCUUUUCUCCGAACUAUUUUUAUAAUAUUCUAGGUCGUGUAAUGAGUUUGAUCCUCAUGUUAAGACCACCAGCAGUUGAAGCUUUUACAUCUAAAAAGAGAG
Molecule: long non-coding RNA, 254 nt
Filed under: Elaeis guineensis (African oil palm)
Lineage: Eukaryota; Viridiplantae; Streptophyta; Magnoliopsida; Arecales; Arecaceae
Description: long non-coding RNA (EGUI_LNC030416)
Source: RNAcentral